This 71-nucleotide transfer RNA is filed under the name Muntiacus reevesi (Reeves' muntjac). It matches the Rfam family "tRNA". From Rfam's summary of the family: Transfer RNA (tRNA) molecules are approximately 80 nucleotides in length. Their secondary structure includes four short double-helical elements and three loops (D, anti-codon, and T loops). Lineage: Eukaryota; Metazoa; Chordata; Mammalia; Artiodactyla; Cervidae. The record is from Rfam by way of RNAcentral. RNAcentral also lists the same sequence under 4 other names.
UCCCUGGUGGCUCAGUGGUAAAGAAUCUGCCUGCAAUGCAGGAGACUCAGGUUCGAUCCCUGGGUUGGGAA